RNAcentral lists this ribosomal RNA (879 nucleotides) under uncultured bacterium. RNAcentral describes it as "bacterial SSU rRNA". It matches the Rfam family "Bacterial small subunit ribosomal RNA", at positions 8 to 916 of the family's 1533-position model. The record is from RNAcentral.
AGAGUUUGAUCCUGGCUCAGGAUGAACGCUGGCGGCGUGCCUAACACAUGCAAGUCGAGCGAUUCUCUUCGGAGAAGAGCGGCGGACGGGUGAGUAACGCGUGGGUAACCUGCCCUGUACACAUGGAUAACAUACCGAAAGGUAUGCUAAUACGGGAUAAUGUACUUUUGUCGCAUGGCAGAAGUAUCAAAGCUCCGGCGGUACAGGAUGGACCCGCGUCUGAUUAGCUAGUUGGAGAGGUAAUGGCUCACCAAGGCAACGAUCAGUAGCCGACCUGAGAGGGUGAUCGGCCACAUUGGAACUGAGACACGGUCCAAACUCCUACGGGAGGCAGCAGUGGGGAAUAUUGCACAAUGGGCGAAAGCCUGAUGCAGCAACGCCGCGUGAGCGAUGAAGGCCUUCGGGUCGUAAAGCUCUGUCCUCAAGGAAGAUAAUGACGGUACUUGAGGAGGAAGCCCCGGCUAACUACGUGCCAGCAGCCGCGGUAAUACGUAGGGGGCUAGCGUUAUCCGGAAUUACUGGGCGUAAAGGGUGCGUAGGUGGUUUCUUAAGUCAGAAGUGAAAGGCUACGGCUCAACCGUAGUAAGCUUUUGAAACUGAGAAACUUGAGUGCAGGAGAGGAGAGUAGAAUUCCUAGUGUAGCGGUGAAAUGCGUAGAUAUUAGGAGGAAUACCAGUUGCGAAGGCGGCUCUCUGGACUGUAACUGACACUGAGGCACGAAAGCGUGGGCAGCAAACAGGAUUAGAUACCCUGGUAGUCCACGCCGUAAACGAUGAGUACUAGGUGUCGGGGGUUACCCCCCUCGGUGCCGCAGCUAACGCAUUAAGUACUCCGCCUGGGAAGUACGCUCGCAAGAGUGAAACUCAAAGGAAUUGACGG